CACGUAGGGCGCAAGCGUUGUCCGGAAUUAUUGGGCGUAAAGAGCUCGUAGGUGGUUUGUUACGUCCGCUGUGAAAUCCUAGGGCUUAACCCUGGGCUUGCAGUGGAUACGGGCAGACUAGAGGUAGGUAGGGGAGAAUGGAAUUCCUGGUGUAGCGGUGAAAUGCGCAGAUAUCAGGAGGAACACCGGUGGCGAAGGCGGUUCUCUGGGCCGUACCUGACACUGAGGAGCGAAAGCGUGGGGAGCGAACAGG
RNAcentral lists this ribosomal RNA (253 nucleotides) under uncultured bacterium. RNAcentral describes it as "partial 16S ribosomal RNA". It matches the Rfam family "Bacterial small subunit ribosomal RNA", at positions 524 to 776 of the family's 1533-position model. The record is from RNAcentral.